RNAcentral lists this long non-coding RNA (854 nucleotides) under Homo sapiens (human). RNAcentral describes it as "HSALNT0301396". Lineage: Eukaryota; Metazoa; Chordata; Mammalia; Primates; Hominidae. The record is from RNAcentral.
CCUCUCUCCACGUCCACGGCGCCGAGUCUCGCCACGGUGGCGCAGGCGCCAGGGAGGUUCCCCGGCUUUGCCGCGCGGAGGAAGUCCCGGUUACGCAGAGCGCGCUGGGGCAGGGCUGACCUUCCCCUUUCUCUACUUCACUGGCCUCCUCCAGACGUGGUGGUUGCGCCCUUUCGGCCUCGCUUUCCGUUUUUUGGCUUCAUCCCCUAGAUCUGCAAACAGUUCCUCGUGUUUCUUCCGUUAGCCGGGAAACGCGAACUGCAGCGUUUGGGACCCGGGUUUGCGCGUGUGGAAAGCAAAAGGGGUUACUCUGCUGGAGUUCGACAUUGCAAAUAAAGAUAAUGUCUGUGCCUAUCAGAUAAAGGCAAACCAGUGCUCAGAGGAACCCAACCAUCUCUGAAUUGAGACCAGAGAGCUGUCUCUAUGGAUAGUCCUUAGAGAAGGCAUUUCGGAACACAGUAAACAGCAGCCUGGUGACUCCGAUUACAGGGCCAGUUGCCUUUGUUACAAUAAAAGCAAGUCAUCUACACAGAUUUUUCCUACCAGGAAGAGCAUGUGCUGACCAACAGACAUGAAUUUCAGCCUGGUAGUUACAACAUUCACAGUAUACCCACAUCACUAAGCUGGGAGGCACAUUUUGAGACCCAGAAUCCUGACACCUCCAUGCCUUCAAAAGGAUGAGCAGAUUCAUGUAUGACCAGAAUGUAAACCAGGAUCACAGAGCAGCCGGAGAGGUGGUGACAGAACCAUCGAUGGAACCCUGGGCUCCAGGUUCUGACUCCUAUUUUCACUCACUAAUUUUUUUUUUUUGAGAUGGAGUCUUGCUCUGUCGCCAGGCUGGAGUAGAGUGGCAC